UGGGGAAUAUUGGGCAAUGGGGGAAACCCUGACCCAGCAACGCCGCGUGAAGGAAGAAGGCUUUCGGGUUGUAAACUUCUUUUACCAGGGACGAAGAGAGUGACGGUACCUGGAGAAAAAGCUCCGGCUAACUACGUGCCAGCAGCCGCGGUAAUACGUAGGGAGCAAGCGUUGUCCGGAUUUACUGGGUGUAAAGGGCGUGUAGGCGGAGAUGCAAGUCAGAUGUGAAAUCUGGGGGCUCAACCCCCAAACUGCAUUUGAAACUGUAUCCCUUGAGUAUCGGAGAGGCAGGCGGAAUUCCUA
This 303-nucleotide ribosomal RNA is filed under the name uncultured bacterium. RNAcentral describes it as "bacterial SSU rRNA". It matches the Rfam family "Bacterial small subunit ribosomal RNA", at positions 355 to 672 of the family's 1533-position model. The record is from RNAcentral.